UCGCGGCCCUUAUAGCUUGUUGGUGAGGUAAUGGCUCACCAAGGCGACGACGGGUAGCCGGCCUGAGAGGGUGACCGGCCACACUGGGACUGAGACACGGCCCAGACUCCUACGGGAGGCAGCAGUGGGGAAUAUUGCACAAUGGGCGAAAGCCUGAUGCAGCGACGCCGCGUGAGGGAUGACGGCCUUCGGGUUGUAAACCUCUUUCAGUAGGGAAGAAGCGAAAGUGACGGUACCUGCAGAAGAAGCGCCGGCUAACUACGUGCCAGCAGCCGCGGUAAUACGUAGGGCGCAAGCGUUAUCCGGAUUUAUUGGGCGUAAAGAGCUCGUAGGCGGUUUGUCGCGUCUGCCGUGAAAGUCCGAGGCUCAACCUCGGAUCUGCGGUGGGUACGGGCAGACUAGAGUGAUGUAGGGGAGACUGGAAUUCCUGGUGUAGCGGUGAAAUGCGCAGAUAUCAGGAGGAACACCGAUGGCGAAGGCAGGUCUCUGGGCAUUUACUGACGCUGAGGAGCGAAAGCAUGGGGAGCGAACAGGAUUAGAUACCCUGGUAGUCCAUGCCGUAAACGUUGGGCACUAGGUGUGGGGGACAUUCCACGUU
RNAcentral lists this ribosomal RNA (598 nucleotides) under Glutamicibacter arilaitensis. RNAcentral's name for it is "bacterial SSU rRNA". It matches the Rfam family "Bacterial small subunit ribosomal RNA", at positions 231 to 838 of the family's 1533-position model. The record is from RNAcentral. Lineage: Bacteria; Bacillati; Actinomycetota; Actinomycetes; Micrococcales; Micrococcaceae.